AUGAUGGACUAUAGGACAGGACUGCUGCUUUUAACUCUCUGCUGGGCAGGUGUUGAUGGUCAGACUCUGACAGAAUCUGAACCAACGAUCAAAAGACCUGGAGAAUCCCACAGAUUGACCUGUACAGUCUCUGGAUUCACACUCAGCAGCUACAACAUGGCCUGGAUCAGACAGGCUCCUGGAAAAGGACUGGAGUGGGUUGCCUGGAAUAGUAACGGUGGUAGCACCAAAUGCUACUCUCAGUCAGUCCAAGGCGAGGGGGUCCUAUCAAUUAUCACUUCCUUACAGAACACGGACAACAGCAGACAGCAGCUGUAUCUGCAGAUGAACAGUCUGAAGACUGAAGAUUCUGCUGUUUAUUAUUGUGCUCGAGAGCCACAGUGACUGGAGUUGGUUGAGCAGCUGUACAAAAUCCUACAGUACUCAUUCUUUCAGGCUGGU
Non-coding RNA from Perca fluviatilis (European perch), 441 nucleotides. The record is from the annotation of a RefSeq genome assembly. Lineage: Eukaryota; Metazoa; Chordata; Actinopteri; Perciformes; Percidae.